GACGAACGCUGGCGGCGUGCUUAACACAUGCAAGUCGAACGGUAAGGCCCUUCGGGGUACACGAGUGGCGAACGGGUGAGUAACACGUGGGUGAUCUGCCCUGCGCUUCGGGAUAAGCCUGGGAAACUGGGUCUAAUACCGGAUAGGACUCCGGACUGCAUGGUCUGGGGUGGAAAGCUUUUGCGGUGUGGGAUGGGCCCGAGGCCUAUCAGCUUGUUGGUUGGGUGAUGGCCUACCAAGGCGACGACGGGUAGCCGGCCUGAGAGGGUGACCGGCCACACUGGGACUGAGAUACGGCCCAGACUCCUACGGGAGGAAGCAGUGGGGAAUAUUGCACAAUGGGCGCAAGCCUGAUGCAGCGACGCCGCGUGAGGGAUGACGGCCUUCGGGUUGUAAACCUCUUUCAGCAUCGACGAAGCGAAAGUGACGGUAGGUGCAGAAGAAGGACCGGCCAACUACGUGCCAGCCGCCGCAGUAA
RNAcentral lists this ribosomal RNA (478 nucleotides) under uncultured bacterium. RNAcentral describes it as "partial 16S ribosomal RNA". It matches the Rfam family "Bacterial small subunit ribosomal RNA", at positions 28 to 523 of the family's 1533-position model. The record is from RNAcentral.